AUUGAACGCUGGCGGCAGGCCUAACACAUGCAAGUCGAGCGGAGCGGCGGACGGGUGCGUAAUGCCUAGGAAUCUGCCUGGUAGCGGGGGAUAACGUCCGGAAAUGGGCGCUAAUACCGCAUACUAUCGCAUGAGCCUAGGUCGGAUUAGCUAGUUGGUGUGGUAAAGGCCUACCAUGGCGACGAUCCGUAACUCGUCUGAGAGGAUGAUCAGUCACACUGGAACUGAGACACGGUCCAGACUCCUACGGGAGGCAGCAGUGGGGAAUAUUGGACAAUGGGCGAAAGCCUGAUCCAGCCAUGCCGCGUGUGUGAAGAAGGUCUUCGGAUUGUAAAGUACUUUAAGUUGGGAGGCGUUACCAACAGAAUAAGCACCGGCUAACUCCGUGCCAGCAGCCGCGGUAAUAC
This 407-nucleotide ribosomal RNA is filed under the name uncultured bacterium. Its description in RNAcentral is "partial 16S ribosomal RNA". It matches the Rfam family "Bacterial small subunit ribosomal RNA", at positions 30 to 526 of the family's 1533-position model. The record is from RNAcentral.